CCCAGUGGGAGGGGGGCAAAGAUGGCUUUAAGUCACCCGGGCAUCUUUCCAGUUCUGAGUUGUCACAUGCACUAGGCAGAGGAGUGGCUGCUCUAAUUUCCCACAGUUUGUCCCCAGGGGCUGCCCAUGUGCUACUCUGCAUCCCCCAGAAGCAGAGAGUUUCUAUGGCCCUAAGUGACAGAGAGACAUAUGCCCCCAGCCCGGCAUUCAUACUCCAGGCCAAUGUUUUCAGUGGUGGGAGGCAGCAAAGAGCCACUUGUUGCAGCCUGAUGCAGGUCUUAUGCUGGGGCAAUUCUGCCCUGGUGACUGCAGGGCUUUCCUGGCCCCUCUAGCCCACCGGAGCAGCCUGCAGGGGCCUCGGCAGAGAGGAGAAUCCCUCCCCUGUGUCUCUUGAAGCCUAAACCUUGUUUUUAGGAACAAGAAUGUUUAGUAGCACUGAGAAAACGACCUUUCGUCCUGGGGAAUCUGAUUUACUGAGUCUGUUUUUAUCAACAGCUAAUUCUUCCCCACCCCCAACAGAAAGGUCAUUAUCAGCGACAGAUAAUUCUUCCCCUAAUUCAACAGAAAGGUCAUCAACGACAGUGCAACCAGCUUCUUCUUCCACGUCAAAAUCUACUUCCAUCUCCUCCACUGCUGAGAAAGGGAAAUCCAGCUUCUCCAGUGACCAGGACAUCACUGCCUUCAUCCUAAACCAUGAGCUCUCUCCCUGGGAUGUGGUGCUGUAUGGGCUAAACCCUACGGAACGGUCAAUUCUGCCUGGGCUACAGCUCGGAGGAACAAGUGAAGAUCUUCUGGACUAGAACUGUGACCCCUCUUCCUUCUCUGCAGUUCAGUGGGGCUGCUCAUGUGCUUAAAAUGAUGCACAAGCUUAGCUCUGUCAGGUCACAUCUGAUUACAACCCUCCCCCAUUAAACCACUAAGAUGUGCGUGCCCUGCCUGCUGGGAAAGCCAUGGGGUCAUACUGCUGUAACCAUCGCCCUUCCUCAUUCAUUUCCCUCCUCACAGCUUGUUCCUCCCACUUCCUGCACCACGCCUGAGAGUCUGCCCCUGCAAGCAGUAGGCACGUGAGCCAUUUGAGUCACAUGACUAGUCCCAUGGACAUCUACAUCCUGGUCUAUACAAUCUAUUCCUGAUAAAGAGUCAGCAAAGGGUGCAGCGAAUCAGCACUGAACAAGCUCCUGCUGUAGACAAGCUGCAAGAUCUAGAGCCAAACUAUUUCAAACUAAGAAUUUUAAAAAUCGAAUGAUCUUUUCCCCGUAUAUUUUGUUCACUUUUUGAGCUCUGUGCAUCUUCCAGAAUGAAAGCCGAAGGGGCAUCCUUACUUAUUUACACUGGAAUUUAAAACAAUGCGUGGAAACAUCUCUGUUGGUCUUAGGUAUGAUCUGACGCUGUCCCUUUAAACAAAAGAAGAUUUCUAUCAGCUAAAAUUAAAAGUGGAUUAAAACUACAGAAUCCCUGGCACCAGGAAAAAACCUAGUGGAAACCAAAAUGUCUCAGGCCUUUAUCCUGCAAACCCUUCCACAUACUUGCUUAACUUUAAGCAUGUUUAGAACAUUAAGUAUUUGCUUAAAAUGUUUGUAGGAUUGGAGCUGAAAAUAGCAAAGAAUUAACAAAAGUCACCACAAGUUAGUUAAAGCUCAUAUUUAUCAGCUGUGCCAGAGAGGCUGCUGCUCAUUUCUGCUCAUCUCAAAGACAAGACUAAAAAAAGGGGCAGAGGAAGUUAGUUACGUAGCUGGCUAUGCACAUUCCCAUGCUGCGUGAGAUAGUGUCCAGAUAAAAUCCUCUGCAUGAUAAAUGAGCCAGGAGGUGGGGGAAAUCACCAGACUAACGCAGCUUUGGGCAUCCUUAAACUUGCCCCACCCAGCAUCAGCUACAAUAUUAGUGUCAGCUGGGCAGGAGGGGGUGGCUGGGUGUGACCAACCCACUCGUAGGGAUCCAGACAAAGCUUCACCCUCAAAGUUUCUAUGACCUGGGCAGACAACAAAGGGGUGGAGGAUAAUAUUAUCUACGAAUAAAGGUGCUGAUACAGCUAGAGCA
Chrysemys picta bellii (western painted turtle) is the source of this 2037-nucleotide long non-coding RNA. Lineage: Eukaryota; Metazoa; Chordata; Testudines; Emydidae. The record is from Ensembl.